AUUGAACGCUGGCGGCAGGCCUAACACAUGCAAGUCGAGCGGAUGAAGGGAGCUUGCUCCUGGAUUCAGCGGCGGACGGGUGAGUAAUGCCUAGGAAUCUGCCUGGUAGUGGGGGAUAACGUCCGGAAACGGGCGCUAAUACCGCAUACGUCCUGAGGGAGAAAGUGGGGGAUCUUCGGACCUCACGCUGUCAGAUGAGCCUAGGUCGGAUUAGCUAGUUGGUGGGGUAAAGGCCUACCAAGGCGACGAUCCGUAACUGGUCUGAGAGGAUGAUCAGUCACACUGGAACUGAGACACGGUCCAGACUCCUACGGGAGGCAGCAGUGGGGAAUAUUGGACGAUGGGCGAAAGCCUGAUCCAGCCAUGCCGCGUGUGUGAAGAAGGUCUUCGGAUUGUAAAGCACUUUAAGUUGGGAGGAAGGGCAGUAAGUUAAUACCUUGCUGUUUUGACGUUACCAACAGAAUAAGCACCGGCUAACUUCGUG
This 484-nucleotide ribosomal RNA is filed under the name uncultured bacterium. RNAcentral's name for it is "partial 16S ribosomal RNA". It matches the Rfam family "Bacterial small subunit ribosomal RNA", at positions 30 to 507 of the family's 1533-position model. The record is from RNAcentral.